AUUGAACGCUGGCGGCAUGCCUUACACAUGCAAGUCGAACGGCAGCACGGGAGCAAUCCUGGUGGCGAGUGGCGAACGGGUGAGUAAUAUAUCGGAACGUGCCCAGUCGUGGGGGAUAACGCAGCGAAAGCUGUGCUAAUACCGCAUACGAUCUCCGGAUGAAAGCGGGGGAUCGCAAGACCUCGCGCGAUUGGAGCGGCCGAUAUCAGAUUAGCUAGUUGGUGAGGUAAAGGCUCACCAAGGCGACGAUCUGUAGCUGGUCUGAGAGGACGACCAUCCACACUGGAACUGAGACACGGUCCAGACUCCUACGGGAGGCAGCAGUGGGGAAUUUUGGACACUGGGCGCAAGCCUGAUCCAGCAAUGCCGCGUGCAGGGUGAAGGCCUUCGGGUUGUAAACUGCUUUUGUACGGAGCGAAACGGUCUUUCCUAAUACGAGAGGCUAAUGACGGUACCGUAAGAAUAAGCACCGGCUAACUACGUGCCAGCCGCCGCAGUAA
This 500-nucleotide ribosomal RNA is filed under the name uncultured bacterium. Its description in RNAcentral is "partial 16S ribosomal RNA". It matches the Rfam family "Bacterial small subunit ribosomal RNA", at positions 30 to 523 of the family's 1533-position model. The record is from RNAcentral.